This 271-nucleotide long non-coding RNA is filed under the name Mus spicilegus (steppe mouse). RNAcentral describes it as "lncRNA (ENSMSIG00000028613.1)". Lineage: Eukaryota; Metazoa; Chordata; Mammalia; Rodentia; Muridae. The record is from RNAcentral.
CCAGCCUCAGGACCGCUUUCCUUCCUCCGCCCAUUGCUCCCAGUCGCGUCCCUUCCCGGCCGCCGUAGAGCAAGCGACGCGGGAGUUCGGCAGUCGCGUCGCCUAGGCAACGGCUCGGCGGCGGGCUGCGGGCGCCAGGCGGCCCCGGGGAGGCGCUCGCGCCGGCGGCCGGGGCUCUACGAGGCGACAAGGCGGCAGACUUUCUGCACUGGCUAAUCAAGAGUGAAAAACCUGAAGAGAUGCAGGCAGGAAAACGGAAUUAAACUAGGCC